This 522-nucleotide ribosomal RNA is filed under the name uncultured bacterium. Its description in RNAcentral is "bacterial SSU rRNA". It matches the Rfam family "Bacterial small subunit ribosomal RNA", at positions 1 to 524 of the family's 1533-position model. The record is from RNAcentral.
UAGAGUUUGAUCCUGGCUCAGAUUGAACGCUGGCGGCAUGCCUUACACAUGCAAGUCGAACGGCAGCACGGGAGCAAUCCUGGUGGCGAGUGGCGAACGGGUGAGUAAAGUAUCGGAACGUGCCCAGUCGUGGGGGAUAACGUAGCGAAAGUUACGCUAAUACCGCAUACGAUCUAUGGAUGAAAGCGGGGGAUCGCAAGACCUCGCGCGAUUGGAGCGGCCGAUAUCAGAUUAGGUAGUUGGUGGGGUAAAGGCUCACCAAGCCGACGAUCUGUAGCUGGUCUGAGAGGACGACCAGCCACACUGGGACUGAGACACGGCCCAGACUCCUACGGGAGGCAGCAGUGGGGAAUUUUGGACAAUGGGCGCAAGCCUGAUCCAGCCAUGCCGCGUGCAGGAUGAAGGCCUUCGGGUUGUAAACUGCUUUUGUACGGAACGAAAAGGUUUGACUUAAUACGUUGGACUCAUGACGGUACCGUAAGAAUAAGCACCGGCUAACUACGUGCCAGCAGCCGCGGUAAU